Molecule: ribosomal RNA, 84 nt
Filed under: Photobacterium phosphoreum
Lineage: Bacteria; Pseudomonadati; Pseudomonadota; Gammaproteobacteria; Vibrionales; Vibrionaceae
Description: partial 16S ribosomal RNA
Rfam family: Bacterial small subunit ribosomal RNA
Source: RNAcentral
ACUUUAAUUGAAGAGUUUGAUCAUGGCUCAGAUUGAACGCUGGCGGCAGGCCUAACACAUGCAAGUCGAGCGGUAACAGAUUGA